Molecule: ribosomal RNA, 53 nt
Filed under: Schizophyllum commune
Lineage: Eukaryota; Fungi; Basidiomycota; Agaricomycetes; Agaricales; Schizophyllaceae
Description: partial 26S ribosomal RNA
Source: RNAcentral
UUGACCUCAAAUCAGGUAGGACUACCCGCUGAACUUAAGCAUAUAAUUAAGCG